CGGGGGCCCGCACAAGCGGUGGAGCAUGUGGUUUAAUUCGAUGCAACGCGAAGAACCUUACCUACUCUUGACAUCCAGAGAACUUUCCAGAGAUGGAUUGGUGCCUUCGGGAACUCUGAGACAGGUGCUGCAUGGCUGUCGUCAGCUCGUGUUGUGAAAUGUUGGGUUAAGUCCCGCAACGAGCGCAACCCUUAUCCUUGUUUGCCAGCGAGUAAUGUCGGGAACUCCAGGGAGACUGCCGGUGAUAAACCGGAGGAAGGUGGGGACGACGUCAAGUCAUCAUGGCCCUUACGAGUAGGGCUACACACGUGCUACAAUGGCGCAUACAGAGGGCAGCCAACUUGCGAAAGUGAGCGAAUCCCAAAAAGUGCGUCGUAGUCCGGAUUGGAGUCUGCAACUCGACUCCAUGAAGUCGGAAUCGCUAGUAAUCGUGGAUCAGAAUGCCACGGUGAAUACGUUCCCGGGCCUUGUACACACCGCCCGUCACACCAUGGGAGUGGGCUGCAAAAGAAGUAGGUAGUUUAACCUUCGGGGGGACGCUUACCACUUUGUGGUUCAUGACUGGGGUGAAGUCGUAACAAGGUAGCGCUAGGGGAACCUGGCGCUGGAUCACCUCCUUAAACGAUGAU
RNAcentral lists this ribosomal RNA (629 nucleotides) under Vibrio parahaemolyticus. Its description in RNAcentral is "bacterial SSU rRNA". It matches the Rfam family "Bacterial small subunit ribosomal RNA", at positions 914 to 1533 of the family's 1533-position model. The record is from RNAcentral. Lineage: Bacteria; Pseudomonadati; Pseudomonadota; Gammaproteobacteria; Vibrionales; Vibrionaceae.